GACGAACGCUGGCGGCGUGCUUAACACAUGCAAGUCGAGCGGUAAGGCCCUUUCGGGGGUACACGAGCGGCGAACGGGUGAGUAACACGUGGGUGACCUGCCCUCAGCUCUGGGAUAAGCCUGGGAAACCGGGUCUAAUACCGGAUAUGACUCCAUGACGCAUGUUGUGGGGUGGAAAGCCUUGUGCGGCUGAGGAUGGGCCCGCGGCCUAUCAGCUUGUUGGUGGGGUGANGGCCUACCAAGGCGACGACGGGUAGCCGGCCUGAGAGGGCGACCGGCCACACUGGGACUGAGACACGGCCCAGACUCCUACGGGAGGCAGGCAGUGGGGAAUCUUGCGCAAUGGGCGAAAGCCCUGACGCAGCGACGCCGCGUGAGGGAU
This 382-nucleotide ribosomal RNA is filed under the name uncultured bacterium. RNAcentral describes it as "bacterial SSU rRNA". It matches the Rfam family "Bacterial small subunit ribosomal RNA", at positions 28 to 409 of the family's 1533-position model. The record is from RNAcentral.